Transfer RNA from Beauveria bassiana D1-5, 73 nucleotides. It matches the Rfam family "tRNA". Rfam says of the family: Transfer RNA (tRNA) molecules are approximately 80 nucleotides in length. Their secondary structure includes four short double-helical elements and three loops (D, anti-codon, and T loops). The record is from Rfam. NCBI's taxonomy places the organism in Eukaryota, Fungi, Ascomycota, Sordariomycetes, Hypocreales, Cordycipitaceae.
GGGGUUUUAGUAUAACGGUGAAUGCAUAUGACUUUUAAUCAUAAAGAUGUAGGUUCGAUUCCUACAAAUCCUA